This 441-nucleotide ribosomal RNA is filed under the name uncultured bacterium. RNAcentral's name for it is "partial 16S ribosomal RNA". It matches the Rfam family "Bacterial small subunit ribosomal RNA", at positions 338 to 795 of the family's 1533-position model. The record is from RNAcentral.
CCUACGGGAGGCAGCAGUGGGGAAUCUUCCACAAUGGGCGAAACCCUGAUCCAGCAACGCCGCGUGAGUGAGGAAGUAUUUCGGUAUGUAAAGCUCUAUCAGCAGGGAAUAGAAAAGAAGGUACCUGAAAAAGCAGCCUCGGCCAACUACGUGCCAGCAGGCGCGGUAUUACGGAGGGGGCAAGCGGUAUCCGGAUUUACUGGGUGUAAAGGGAGCGUAGACGGAAAGGCAAGUCAGAAGGGAAAACCCAGGGGUCAAACAUGGGACUGCUUUUGAAACUGUCAAACUUGAGUACGAGAGAGGUAAGAGGAAUUCCAAGUGUAGCGGUGAAAUGCGUAGAUAUAAGGAGGAACACCAGUGGCGAAGGCGUCUUACUGGACCGAAACUGACGUUGAGGCUCGAAAGUGUGGGGAGCAAACAGGAUUAGAUACCCCAGUAGUC